AGAAUCAACGCUGGCGGCGUGCCUAACACAUGCAAGUCGAACGCGGUUGCCCCGCAAGGGGUAACUGAGUGGCGAACGGGUGAGUAACGCGUGGGUGACCUACCUUCGAGUGGGGGAUAACGUCCCGAAAGGGACGCUAAUACCGCAUAACAUCCUGCUCUUGAACGAGCGGAAAUCAAAGCCGGGGAUCGUAAGACCUGGCGCUUGAUGAGGGGCCCGCGUCUGAUUAGCUAGUUGGUGAGGUAAUGGCUCACCAAGGCAACGAUCAGUA
This 271-nucleotide ribosomal RNA is filed under the name uncultured bacterium. RNAcentral's name for it is "partial small subunit ribosomal RNA". It matches the Rfam family "Bacterial small subunit ribosomal RNA", at positions 26 to 285 of the family's 1533-position model. The record is from RNAcentral.